This is a long non-coding RNA of Mangifera indica (mango), 1054 nucleotides long. RefSeq lists it as uncharacterized. The record is from RefSeq and is a predicted model, not a curated record. The transcript is spliced from 4 exons. Lineage: Eukaryota; Viridiplantae; Streptophyta; Magnoliopsida; Sapindales; Anacardiaceae.
UGACAAAUUCUCCUUAGGGUUUCGAUCUCCUCUCUCCAGCGACAAUCUCUUUCCCAGACGUCAAUGUUUUCGCUCCCUUCCAGCUUCUUGUGUGCUCUUUUUGAAAUUUGCAAUUCAUGCUACAUUUUCUCUUAGGAGAGAUUCAAUUGCAGGAGAUCAAUACAAGUUGUUGAACAGUGCUCAUGUGGCCUCACUCUCAUUCAAGGAGCUGGUGCCAAAGGAGCAGUUUGUUCAGAUGGAACAUUGCCUGGAUAUCAUUUGCAUCAUGGGUAUGGUUCAGGAGCAAAAUAGUUGGCUCAUUCAGUUGGAGGAUUGUAAUAUAAAUUCUUUUUGAGUCUUCAUCACCAGUAAGAAAAAAGGAAAAUAAAAUCAUUGAAUUUCUGGAGGAAAAACUCUGCAACUCUUUAAAAAUGCUUUUCUAUUGCUUUAUGCCGUCAAUGUUCUUUUUAUGGUUCUUUUGGGAUUAAUAGUAUGUUAUUGACAUGGUUGAACAUCAGCAGAUCCCCACGGCUAUUACCACGGUUGCAGGUUAAACCAAGCGAAAUGCACUCCAUCACGGAUUAGAUUUUUACAAGGUGAAUUAUGUAUGAAUAUGAAAGUAUUUUGAGCUUUCACAUCUAUAUGUGCUUUAAGCUGCUUCAGGAACCAAAGUGUUGAAUGCAAUCAAAGUUUUCUCAAUGUCUAGACAGAAUGGCUUAUUUAUAAAUUCAUGUUUUUCUCACUGCCAAUCCGAGAGGCAAGAUACAUGGUUUCUCAAUGAUUCUCCUGUUGUUGGUAACCAGGCGGUUGCAAUAGCUGUUGGAGAUUGGUAUUUUGAUUGCACAGGCGUUAAGGUCAUUGAUUGUGCUUACCCUUGUGACAAAACUUGCCCAAUCUAAUUUUCAGAGCCUAAUUUAAUCAGUUGGAAUCAAUUUAAAUGGUCUAUGUGUAAGUGUAUCCCAUAUUCUACCCAUCAUUCAUUAAAUGCACUUACAAUUCAACCAAGGAUGAAAGUAGAGACAACAAACAGAGGAUUGCUGAGAAAUGCAAAUGCAACCAGCAAUCCUUUUCCAUA